ACACAUGAGGGAGUGAGGAAAUGAGACACAUGGAAGGGAUGGGGGAAUGAGACACAUGGGGAGCUGGAGGACUGAGACACAUGGGGAGUGGGGGAAUGAGACACAUGUGGGGCUGGGGGAAUUAGGCAAAUGAGGUGGUGGGAGAAUGAGACACAUGGGGGCUGGGAUAAUUAGACACUUCUGAGGACUAGGGGAAUGAGACAUAUGGAAGGGAUGGGGGAAUUGUGACACAUGGGGGGCUGGGGGACUGAGACACAUGGGAAGUGGAGGAAUGAGGUACAUGUGGGGCUGAGGGAAUGAGACUCAUGGUGGGGAGAAAAUGAGACACAUGGAAUGGAGGGGCUGCAGGGAACAAAAAUAGACAUAGAGAAGCUGGGGGUGAAAGAGACAAGGUGCCGGGGGAAAGAGACACACAGAAGGACUGAGAAGUGGGGGAAGAGACACACAAAAGAGGCUGGAGAGAGAAUGAAAAACACAGAGGGGCUGGGGGUACAAAAGGACACAGAGAGGCUGAGGAGGGGAAGUAACAGACCGACAGGGGCUGGGUAAGGGGUAGAAAAGACAAGCAUGGCCUGAAGGUGCAACACACGGACAAAGAGAUACAGAGAGGCUGUGGAGAGAUAGAGGCAAGGUGCUGGGGGAAAGAGACAAAGAAGGGAUGGGAGGAAGAGAUACACAAAAGGGACUGAGGGGAGAAAGAGACAUGGGGAAAGAAGAAAUAAAUACACAAAAGGGGCUAGGGGGAAGAGGUACACAGAGAGGAUGGGGAAAGGGAGAAAGAAACACAAAGGGGCUGGAGGAUGGGAAGUGACACACAGAAAGGCUGACACCCAAAGGGUGUUUAGGGUAUGACAAAGAGACACAGAUAAGCUGUGGGGAGAAAGAGACAUGGUGCUGGGAGAAGUGACACACAGAGGGGGUGGGGGGGAAAGAGACAGAGGAGAUGAGGAAGAGGAGAAAGAGACACACAAAGGAGAUGGGAAAGAAGGAGACACACAAAAGGGUUGGGGUAGAAAGAAACACACAAAGAAUCUGGAGGAAGGAAGAAACACACAAAAGGGUUGAGUGGAGAAAAAGACGCACAAAGAGGCUGGGUGGAGAAAGAGACACACAAAGGGGCUGGGUGGAGAAAGAGACACACAAAGGGGCUGGAGUAAAAGAUACAUAAAUGGGCUGGAGGGGAGUAAGAGACACACAAAGGGACUGGAGGGAAGUAAAAGAAACACAAAAGGGGUGCUAGGGGAAAGAGACACACAGAGGGACUGUGAAGUGGGGGAAGAGACACACCAAAGGUGCUGGAGAGAGAAAGAGACACACAGAGGGGCUCGGGGUACAAAAGGACACAGAGAGGCUGAGGAAGGGGAAAAAGAGACAGCCAAGGGCUGGGUAAGGGUAGAAGAGACAAGUAUGGCCUGGGGGUGCGACACACCCAGAGGUUUUUCAGGGACAAAGAGACACAGAGAGGCUGUGGAGAGAUAGAGACAAGGUGCUGGGGGAAGUGACACACAGAGGGGCUGGGGGAAAAGAGACACAGAGGGGAUGGGAGGAAGAGAUACACAAAAUGGGCUGAGGGGAGAAAGAGGGAUGGGGAUGGGGAAAGGGAGAAAUAAAUACACAAAAGGGGCUAGGGGGAAGAGGUACACAGAGAGGAUGGGGAUAGCGAGAAAGAAACACAAAGGGGCUGGAGAAUGGGAAGUGACACACAGAAAGGCUGACACCCAAAGGGUGUUAGGUAUGACAAAGAGACACAGAGAAUCUGUGGGGAGAAAGAGACAUGGUGCUGGGAGAAGUGACACACAGAGGGGAUGUGGGGAAGGAGACAGAGGGGAUGGGGAAGAAGAGAAAGAGACACACGAAGGAGCUGGGAUAGAAAGAGACACACAAAAGGGUUGGGGUAGAAAGAGACACACAAAGAAUCUGGAGGAAGAAAGAAACACACAAAAGGGUUGGGUGGAGAAAAACACAUAUAAAGAGGCUGGGUGGAGAAAGAGACACACAAAGGGGCUGGAACAAAAGAGACAUAAAUGGGCUGGAGGGGAGUAAGAGAAACACAAAAGGGCUGGAGGGAAGUAAGAAGCACACAAAAGGACUGUGGGGUGUAAGAGACACACAAAGGGAAGAAAUGGGGGCAUUAGGUAUACUAAAGGGGAGUGUAAAACAAUAGGGGAUAUGAUGCACUAAAGACAAUGAAAAAAUAAGAUAAAGGGGGUAAGAAACUCAAAAGGUGGAUUAAGGGACACAGGUGAAGAUGCAUUUUUGGGGGGGAAACUGUGGGGGUGGCAAAAUGCAUUCUCCCCUGUGUAGUCAAAAUCCUUGCACCGGUCCUGGGUAUACUCCAAACACCAUAACCAUUACAGCUUAUUAUAGUAGUUAUGGUACCAGGAUUACCUAGCGUCCUCCCUGAGUAAGCAGUCAAACUGUUUAAGAAUGUUUUACAACAUACCCAGAUGCUCAUUGCCCAGAUGCAUGGGGCUUCCAUCAGCUCCACUGAAUUAAGCUCUUCCAUACAGGGAAGGCUCAUUGGCUGAGUGUGUCAACUGAGCGCUCUCAGCCAGUGGGUACAACCCUACAUUUCUCAACCUAGCUCAGUGGCAG
Molecule: non-coding RNA, 2595 nt
Organism: Pelobates cultripes (western spadefoot toad)
Lineage: Eukaryota; Metazoa; Chordata; Amphibia; Anura; Pelobatidae
Source: the annotation of a GenBank genome assembly